CGUCACUCUCUGUGUUCUUCUCCCUGAGUUUAACCAUUGGGACUCUUUCUACAGACAAAAUUUCAAACCCCACAAACCAUCUUUUCAAGAAAACUUUUCUCCAUCCACGCGUCCUCGUCCUCGUCCCUCUCCAGGCGGAUAGGGAGAUGGAGGAAAAGUUCCAUGAAAAGGCGGUCUGUGUUUUUAUACUUUCAUGACAACAAUAUGCAAGGAAUUUGAAGGUGCUUAUACCCUAAUCUAUUUUCUGUAAUUCUCUAUAAUACUUGUUGAUAUUGUAAUUUUUGAAUUAUCAUGCAGUAAGAGAUAUACAAAACUUAGGAAUAUCUAUAUCUCAUAGCCUAAGGAGAGAAAAGCAUUAUUUCAUGAUGAGAUUUUUGUAAUAGAAAAUUCUGGUUCUGCAAGCAAAUUCAAUUUGCGUGGGCCAAAGCUUGGGAAGAUGAAGAUGAAGAUGAAGAUGAUUUCCAACAACCUGAAGAACAUGGUUCUGCUGCCUGUGGGGGUCACAUAAUUGAUGAUCAUCAUGGUAACUGUGGUCGUGGGUUUCUGCUAUAAACUCAGAUCUUACUUGCUAUUGUGGAAGUGCUUGGGAUUAUUAGAUUUAAAUUUAUGUUGGCAUAAGGAAUGUUCAAAAAUUGAAGUAUACUCCGACUUCAUUGAAGCUAUAAAUCUCAUUGUUUUGAGGCUCCAAUCUUAAUCAUAAACGACAUCAUUUAUGAAGCCUAUUUUUUUUU
Prosopis cineraria is the source of this 731-nucleotide long non-coding RNA. RefSeq lists it as uncharacterized. The record is from RefSeq and is a predicted model, not a curated record. The transcript is spliced from 2 exons. NCBI's taxonomy places the organism in Eukaryota, Viridiplantae, Streptophyta, Magnoliopsida, Fabales, Fabaceae.